AGAUGUUCGGCAUGAAAAAUGAGGGAGGAAAAGCCCAAACAAUUAGGAUUUUCCAAAUUAUUUAAGUACAACGAUGGGCGGGGUGUUACAUCCCCCCAAUUUAAAAACAUUUGGUCUCUAAAUUUGUCUCGAAUAGGUCUGGAUGCUUCUCCCUCAUCUCACUCUCCAACUCCCACGUUCUUGUUACGCAAGACUUUAUCGGUCUACCUAAAAAUCUCCACAGGAACCUCCUCAUAAGUCAUGUCUGUUUGUACCCAUACCUCAUCGCGAGAAAUAAUAUGAGAAGGAUCAGGGUGAUACC
RNAcentral lists this long non-coding RNA (301 nucleotides) under Carica papaya (papaya). RNAcentral describes it as "long non-coding RNA (CPAP_LNC000288)". The record is from RNAcentral. Lineage: Eukaryota; Viridiplantae; Streptophyta; Magnoliopsida; Brassicales; Caricaceae.